AAAAAAUCAACACAUUUAACAACAUUCAGGUGAAAUAAUUUCAUGUUAAUACAUAAUUGUCAUAAAAAUGACAACUGCUUUCAGUACUAAUAAUCAAAGGUAAAAUUUUCUUAUGAGUAAUGAGUCUACAUACUGUAAGGUUAGAGAAAACUCGCGUAAACAGGUUUUUCUCUUGUACCUGCUUUAAAAUCAAAUUAGAAAAAUGAUUUUUCUUCAGAAUCAUGGACCUUCUACUGAUGCUGGCCUGCUUCCAAGCCAACAUGAAGUGAACACCAAGAAUCGAGACCAAUGACCAUUUCCAAAGGCUUAUGCUUUGGUAAGGUCAAGGUUCGGUAAAAUGAAAAUAAGGAUAUUUUACCGAGCUAUAAGCUGAUCGAGCUUCAUUUGCUCCAUCCAUGCACCAAGUUGAUCAUAUUGUUCAAUCUGGGAACCAGAUGUUGAGCCCUCGCUGAUAUCUGCACCAGAAUCUGUAAGGCCUGAUACUCGAGAUGCAGAUUUGUUCUUAGCUUCCUGUGGUGAUUCUUUGACAAGAGAUUGGACCCAAGAUAGAUCAGGCUCUUCUCCAUUGUUGGCAAGCUCAAAUGAUGAUGAUCUCCUUAGCCUACCAAACUCCUCGCUAUUGACAGCCCAAUCUGGCUUUCCUGGAGCUAUACCCCAGUUCGACCAAGUAUCUGAGGGAGAGCCAGCAAUGGCAGAAGCAGCACUGGAGCCAAGAUCACGAGAGCUGAGACUCCUAAAUUGAUGUUGCUUGUCACCUUGAGCAAGCAUUGAGACACGGGAACUCAUGGGUGAGAUUGGUUCCAUUCCUCGGGGAGACAUACUCCGCGAUGAUGGAACUCCAAAGGAGCCCUGCAAUAUAGGAUUGUCGACAUUUCUUGGUGAAAAACUUGUAUUAAUCGGAGACAACAUGGCCUUCUGCUGCUGCAGGUAUUGGUUGAAAACCGCAGACUUGUGGGUUGGGGAAAAAACAGCUUGAGAUAAAGCUUGGUCAGAAAAUCUAGGAGAUGACCCCUCAGCAGAAAAUAAGUCCUCGAGAUUCGAAGGGGUUAAGGUCUUAGGACGAACUGAACGAUUAAAAGAAUUAGCAUGAGUGCUGGACUGCGAUAGGCAAGACAGUCCAUUUAGUAGCUGCUGUUGCUGCACAUCAAAAUCAGACAACAUAGUCAGGUCUUUAGCAGGGAUAUCUCUUGCAUUUAGUGAUGAACGCAAGCGACUGGACUGAAGAUUGCUGCCAGGAAGAUGCAAAGCUGGGACGUUUUGUGGUGGCCAACCCAUGUUUGCAACACCAUUAGCCGAGGGUGACA
Molecule: unclassified non-coding RNA, 1304 nt
Filed under: Hevea brasiliensis (rubber tree)
Lineage: Eukaryota; Viridiplantae; Streptophyta; Magnoliopsida; Malpighiales; Euphorbiaceae
Source: RNAcentral